RNAcentral lists this ribosomal RNA (969 nucleotides) under Triticum aestivum (bread wheat). RNAcentral describes it as "partial small subunit ribosomal RNA". The record is from RNAcentral. Lineage: Eukaryota; Viridiplantae; Streptophyta; Magnoliopsida; Poales; Poaceae.
AUGUACACGCUCUCGAUCUCACUCAUUGAUGUCAGUUGCACUAACCAAAAUAAGAGAGCACCAGUUUGGCCUCGGCGGCAGGUGAUUAAGCUGCAGCGGAGAACUUGCUCCAUUACCAAUUCCUUUUGGUUCUCGACUAUAAAUAGAGCGCGCUGCAAAGGUCUCACCACCAACAAAGCACUUUCUCUUCCACCAUUACAAACAGAAACAGCACAUCAUCAGCUCAGUUAAUCCAUUAGAAACAUGGCCUGCCAUCAAAGAUCCGCGAGUCUGCCUUCCAUCCCCCACUCCACCGAAUCCAAAGUGGAGGUGGAGCUGCAGGGCCUGCAGACACGCAUCUCCACGCCUUCCGCGACCAUCGACACGAUGUGCGGCGGUAUGAGAAGGCUCGGAGACAUCUACAGCUCCAUAGAAGAGAUCAUGAGCCUGCCCAGCAACCAAAUCGGCCUCUCCCUGCCCCUUUUUAGGAAGAUGGUCGAGGAAGAGCUUGACAGGUCACUUGUCCUGGUGGAUCUCUGCAAUGCCAUGCAGGAGAGCCUGGCAGAGCUGAAGGCGAGCAUCCAGGACCUGCAGCUCGCCCUCAAGAGAGGAGAUGCCGCUGCUGUCCAGAUCAAGAUCAAGUCCUUCAUUCGCCUCGCGAAGAAGGCGCAGAAGCCUUUCUAAAAGAUCACAAGCGACAAGGCUACCACCCAAGGCUGCGGGACGGUCAGGCUACUGGCAGAAGCAAGAGACAUGGCGGUCUCUCUGCUUGAAUCCGCGCCGCGCCUCCUGCUGAAGCAAAUUGGGGUUGCCAAUGGAAGCAGAUGGUCUCUGGUCUCAUAGAGGUUCCAGAAGAAGAGGAUUGUCUGCGAGGCGGCGCAGCUUCAAGCGCUGGACCGCGGCGUGGCCGACCUUGAGACCGGCGUUGAGUCUCUGUUCAGGAGGUUGAUCUAGAGCAGGGUUUCACUCCUGAACAUCCUUAGCUCCUAG